UCUGUUUUAUGUCAUGGUGAGUUUCCGUGAACACUGUGAUGAGCGGGUCCCUUUAAAUGUUGUCACUGCAAUGAAUUGUGGGUCGUCAUUAUGUGGUCUCCUUUGGUAAAGGAUUCAUCAGUGUUUCCUAGGCUAAAGGAGGUUAUAAAGGAUGCAUUGAGCCUCCUUUCCAUAGCUUAAAGAGAAUUGGAACGCUCCUUAUCAUGGCCGCCACUUAAACACUUUCAGAGUAAAGGAAAAGUGGAUAAGAAAGGAGAUAGGAGGGACUAUUAGGACACAGCCUGUAUCUGCUCACUGAUUGGUUGUCCUCAGGAUGAACACUCGGGGGGGGUCGUCCUUCAGCAGUCCCACGGGGACGCCCACCUGUGGCCGUAGAGUCCGUCAACUUCCUGUUGUUCCUCGUAAAGCUGCUUCAGACAGAUUUUUGGCCACACCCACUUCAGGAGCGUUACUGACGUCUCCUACAAUGAUGCACCAAAGCCUUUCUCCACUUAACCAGAGAACACUAUCUCCUGUCAAUCACUACACACAAGCCCCGCCCCCUGCCAUUACAACCACACCUGAAACUACACCUGCACCUCCAGCUGUUGCUACAGCUGUUCCCACACCUGUACAUCAACUUCCUCCUAUGCCUGCGUUUGUUUCUCCAGCUUUAACUCCAUCACCUGCAGUGCACUGCACACCUGCACCUCCAGCUGCUUCAACACCUGCACCUCCAGCUGCUUCAACACCUGCACCUCCAGCUGCUUCAACACCUGCACCUCCAGCUGCACCUGCACCUCCAGCUGCUUCAACACCUGCACCUCCAGCUGCACCUGCACCUCCAGCUGUUCCAGCAGCUGUUCCUCCCUCUCCUCAGCAGUGCCAUGAAUCUUUACCAUCACCUGUUUCUGCUGAAGCUCCGCCUUCACCUGCACCAUCACCGGCUCCGCCCCCUCAGACUCCAGAGCCGGACCGUCGUUCAGCGACUCCUGGAGGAAGCAGGAAAGGUACGUUUGUUCUUGUCUGA
This 1009-nucleotide long non-coding RNA is filed under the name Gouania willdenowi (blunt-snouted clingfish). Its description in RNAcentral is "lncRNA (ENSGWIG00000003901.1)". The record is from RNAcentral. Lineage: Eukaryota; Metazoa; Chordata; Actinopteri; Blenniiformes; Gobiesocidae.